GACGAACGCUGGCGGCGUGCUUAACACAUGCAAGUCGAACGGUGAAGGGGCCUGCUUUUGUGGGCCCUGGAUGAGUGGCGAACGGGUGAGUAACACGUGAGUAACCUGCCCCCUUCUUCUGGAUAACCGCAUGAAAGUGUGGCUAAUACGGGAUAUUCUGGGUCUGUCGCAUGAUGGGUCUGGGAAAGAUUGCGCCUUUGGGUGUUUUUGGUGGGGGAUGGGCUCGCGGCCUAUCAGCUUGUUGGUGGGGUGAUGGCCUACCAAGGCGGUGACGGGUAGCCGGCCUGAGAGGGUGGACGGUCACACUGGGACUGAGACACGGCCCAGACUCCUACGGGAGGCAGCAGUGGGGAAUAUUGCACAAUGGGCGCAAGCCUGAUGCAGCGACGCCGCGUGAGGGAUGGAGGCCUUCGGGUUGUAAACCUCUUUCGCCAGUGAAGCAGGCCUGCUCCUUGUGGGUGGGUUGACGGUAGCCGGAUAAGAAGCGCCGGCUAACUACGUG
Molecule: ribosomal RNA, 502 nt
Filed under: uncultured bacterium
Lineage: Bacteria
Description: partial 16S ribosomal RNA
Rfam family: Bacterial small subunit ribosomal RNA
Source: RNAcentral